UAUAGGGUAGCCGAAAACUAUUUAAAAGAGUAGGCA
Molecule: non-coding RNA, 36 nt
Filed under: unclassified sequences
Description: DUF805b RNA
Rfam family: DUF805b RNA
About the family: Bacteroidetes, Chlorobi (1 example), Proteobacteria. Lineage (Flavobacteria)
Source: RNAcentral